UUUCUUUCAAAUUCAUUUGAGCUUUUGAGGCUAGGAUUAGAAAGUUCAAGACUUUGGAUAUAAUUUAAGUAAAGAAUUUGUAUGAUUUCGAGUUUUUGUAAAAGAGAUAUAGGUAUUCAAAGUUAAGGUAUUAAAUUUGUACCUACUGUCACUCUUUGAAGCAUAACAUAUGUGUAUGGAGAGAAAUGAAAGAUUGGCAACUGGAAUUAGAGAGAACACUUUCUUGGCUACACUUCACAUAUACUAUUUGAUGAAUUUGAAGUUUAGAUGAAGAAGUUAUAGAGGGUUGAAGUUAGUGUAUCCAAAUCAAAUGUAGUAAAUAAAAGAUUUUAUUCAUAGUAAUGGUUGGAGCCAUAUCUUGAGUUUCGGAAAGAGUUUUUGGCUGAAAUCUUAUAGAAAAGGUAGACAAUUGUAUUAAAAAAAUAUACAUAUAAAAUUUGUGGCAUUUAGGUGUUUAGUUUGUGAGAUAUGAAGAAAAUUGCAUGCAAGUGUAUAAAAACUAGGGUUUGAAGCUAUUGUUAGGAUUUUGGUGAUAUCUUAAGUUCCGCGAUGAAUUUGUAGUUGAAAUUUGUUGUGGAAGUUGAUGAAAAUACGUCAAUACUUUAUGUAAAAUUUGAGUAAUUUUGGAUGGUUGGAUCAAGAAAUAUGAGGUAUUGAAGUUAAGAAAAAUUUCUAUACAAGGAUAUACAAGGUUUUAUAGGAUUUUAUCAUAUAUUUGGAUGUUGUUGGUUACUUGAGGCUUAUGUAUUUGGUGUAAUUUCUCCAAAAAGGGAAAUUUUAUAUAUAAACUUAGGAAUUUCCUUA
RNAcentral lists this long non-coding RNA (804 nucleotides) under Physcomitrium patens. RNAcentral's name for it is "long non-coding RNA (PPAT_LNC005508)". Lineage: Eukaryota; Viridiplantae; Streptophyta; Bryopsida; Funariales; Funariaceae. The record is from RNAcentral.